Long non-coding RNA from Oncorhynchus tshawytscha (Chinook salmon), 3603 nucleotides. NCBI's taxonomy places the organism in Eukaryota, Metazoa, Chordata, Actinopteri, Salmoniformes, Salmonidae. The record is from Ensembl.
UGGACUUCCUGUUCGUUCGGGUCAUACCGGUGAGAGUGGGGUAAAAAUUGUCAAUGUGGUUUGAAGUGGACAAUGGUACUCCCCAGGGAAGUGAGGUUAGUCCGAUGUUGUUCACCCUGAUGAUAGAUGACAUAUUUAAGGUGGGACAGGGAGUGGGUCUAGCCUUGUAUGCUGGUGAUGGGGCUGUAUGGAAGAGAGGUGGGAAGGUGAAAUAUGUGAUGAGGAAGAUGCAAGAAGCUGUGGGAGCUGUGGAAGAUUGGUCUCUAACAUGGGGGUUUAGGAUGUCUGUGGCCAAGUCCUGCUUUAUGGUGUUUUCUAGGAGGAAGGUUACAGAUGUUAGGCUGCAAAUAUACGGUCAGGAUAUAGGUAGGGUGUCUGAGUUUAAGUAUUUAGGUACGUGGUUUAAUGAGAGGCUUACUUGGAAGGGACAUGUUUAGUAUAUGGAAAUUAAGUGCAGCAAGGCGCCGCACCUCAUGGGGGCAGUGGCAGGAUAUGAUUGGGGGUCGGAUAGGCGAACACUGUUGUAUAUGUUUCAGGAUUUGAUCAGAUCAUCUUUCACGGUCAUUGUUUGUUUAUUGUUUUUGAAGUUUCACUUUAAUAAAAGAUAUGGAACUCAACUUACGCUGCGCCUUGGUCCGUCCUUUUCGACGAUCGUGACAGAUAGGAUACAGUCAAGGGUCCUGGGAUUGUGUGUGGGUGCCUUCAGGCCGACACCUGUUGAGGCAUUGCAGGUGGAUAGUGGGAAACUGCCACUGAGGAAAAGGCCAGACAAACUUGCAUUAGCGUACUGGGCGAGGUUGAAAGAGAGUUCAGAAGGACAUCCUGCGGUCACGGCAACUGGGGAAUGUUGGGAGCAAGGAGUGGGCAAGCAGAGGGCAUACUGGUGGACAAUUGGGUAGAAUAUGGACUGGGGGAGAGGGAUAGGGCCUGCAAUUGCAUUGGGGAACAUUCCUCAGUGGCUGUUUCUGAAACAAAGUAUAGAUGUGGAUAUGACUGAGGGUGGGAGAGAAUGGGAUGAGGACGUGAGAUGUGGUGUGGAGAGAUAUAUAGAUAAUAGUUUUUAUUAGUUUUUAAGGAUUCAGAUGGUUCAAAGGAUCCAGUCAGUGGUAGGGUGGGGGCAGGGGUGUAUAUCCCAGAUUUCAAUGUUUGAGUAUGUAAGCGGUUAACUGAUUGUGUCAGUUUAUGCAGCCGAGUUGAUGGCCAUAAUUAUAGGUUUGAAAUGGGUGGAGGAGGUGAAACCACUCAGAGUGGUGAUCUGCUCUGAUUCGACUGCAGUGUUGAGUAGUGUGAAGACGAGCAGGUCGGAUAGUGGAGACUUGUUUGUGUAAAUGAUGGUGCUGUUAAUGGGAUGGGAGUGGUGAUAAGCUUUUGCUGGGUUCCCGCCAACGUGGGUGUGGAGGGUAAUUAGAAGGCUGAUGUGAUGACUAAGAGGGCAGUGAGGAGAGAGGGGGUAGAUAUUCAGUUCCCGUUGGGCCGUAGGGAAGUCAAGUCCUUGAUUCGGGCAAAAGGGCUCGAUCUUUGUCAAAGGAAGUGGUAUGCUAGUAGUAAGGGGAGGCAAUUUUAUCGCAUUCACCGGUCAGUUAAGGAAGAGGUGGGCAGUAUGGGAUGUAGGAGAGAGGAAGUUGUGUGGAGUGGACUGCGGUUUGGACACACCAGGUUUGAAUGCCACGUUGUGGAUGAUAAGGAGACAUGAAACAGGUCUGUGUGAUGAGUGUUAAGUGGAGGAAACUGUAGAGCAUGUGUUGAUAUUUUGUGAACUGUAUGACGUUGAUAGAGAGAGAUUGUGUGAAAGGGUUAGAAAGGCUGGACGGGGUUUGGGUGGUGUUGUGAGUCAAAUCAAACCAAAGUCAAAGUCAAAUCAAACCAAAGUUCAGUGUCACAUACGCCGAAUACAACAGUGAAAUGCUUACUUAAAGGCUCUAACCAAUAGUGCGAGAAAAAAAAGAAGAGUUGUGUGUGUGUAAGAUACUAAUGACGACAUGGUCCUGAAAGCUCAGGAGACUGCUGAGGGGAGGACAGCUCAUAAUAAUGGCUGCAAUGAAGUGAAUGGAAUGGUAUCAAACACUUUUUCGAUACCUUUCCAUUAAUUCCGUUCCAGCCAUUACUAUUACCAAAUAAGGUGCGACCAACCUCGUGACCCUGAAAGUAUUUCUCCCACCACCAGUUUCCCGUGUGCAGAUACGAAAGACGACCUGAUCUUGAGACUGAUUCUCCCACCACAAGUAACGAGUUGGAAAAAAGACUGCCUGCCCAAGCUUUGAUGAGGCCUGAAAGUCAUAUUGUACCGUUGCAACCAAUAUGGCUGAAUAUCUUCGCCAGGCGACCAAAAGGACAAGAGGAACCGAACCCUUUGCUCUGACUCUCGUGUGACAAUCACCCCUACUCCAUGGCAUUCACUAUCAUGAGCAGGCUCUGGAGCAGAGGACAUUAUGUUUAGCUGUUUUACAAGAAUUCAUAUGGAAAAUGGAUACCUGGUAGGGGUUUGGGGGAGUAAAGGGUAAAGUGUUUACUUUUCUUCACCCCCUUUCCUCAGCUUUAAUUGCUGGGGCUCCUGUGAUUUUUGAAAUGAUGGAUUGUGCUAAAGUUUUUAUUUGUGUGUUCCUUAUUUGUUUAUCCUUUGCAUGACUUCACUUUGGAGCUGAAAUGAAUCAUUCAAAAUACACAUUUUGUAUUUUAUCUACAAUUUGUCAUGAUUGGCCAUAUGUCAUUUUAAGAAUUUCAUCGACUGUGUCGAAAUGUUGUAACAUUGAUUGUUAUGGUUAGACAUAUUUUGUACAUUUAGAGAAUUAACAGGUUCUGUAAUAGAGAAGUAGAAAAAUAACCCAGCAAUAAAGUAAGAAAUAACCCACGGCUGGGUCAAAAAUACAAAAAUAAAAAUAACCCAGCAAAAGAGUAAAAAGCAACCGACUGCUGGGUCAAAGUAAUCGCAUUUUGUGGUAAAUCAAGAAACCCAACGUGUUGGGUCAUUCACGUAACCCAACAGUGCUGGGUCAUUCACGUAACCCAACAGUGCUGGGUCAUUCACGUAACCCAACAGUGCUGGGUCAUUCACGUAACCCAACAGUGCUGGGUCAUUCACGUAACCCAACAGUGCUGGGUCAUUCACGUAACCCAACAGUGCUGGGUCAUUCACGUAACCCAACGUGUUGGGUCAUUCACGUAACCCCAACAGUGCUGGGUUAAAAUAGUUUUUGUGUGUAGGGAAAAGGGAUGACUAUGACAUUGAACCUCUGUAGAUAAGAUAUACUGUAGGUGUAUGUUAUUCCCAACCUUAAAAGUUUGGGGGAUAUUAAUGUUUACAUAAGGAAGAUGACCUUGGAUUAAAACCUCUACAGGAUUGGUGGUUCCCCCACGGGACGGUCGAGCUAACGUAGGCUCAUGCGAUUAGCAUGAGGUUGUAAGUAACAAGAACAUUUCCCAGGACAUAGAAAUAUCUUACAUUGGCAGAAAACUUCAAUUCUUGUUAAUCUAACUGCACUGUCCAAUUUACAGUAGCUAUUACAGUGAAAGAAUACCAUGCAAUUGUUUGAGGAGAGUGGACAGUUAUGAACUUAAAGUUAUUAUUAAACCAAUUAGCCACAUUUGGGCAGUCUUGAUACAAAC